CAUUGAAGCGGCGUGCUACAUUUGGUGAGUUCUGGUUGGAAACACAUGCAAAGAAAGGGUCGAGACCCCUAGAUAAAUUGGUUGGGAGUAGCAGGUCAGUUGAGAAUGGUUCGAGAGAAGACGAUGAGGUGGAAGACACCAUUCAGCAGCAAAAUGUGACACGAGGGCGAGUGAAGCUUAUAGCACAUAUGAUAAAUAUGUCGUUGAUAAAUAUGGAGAGGAUACUAGUUUACACCCUGAAUUUGACAUGGAAUUGUGGUCACAAACGGUCAGUGGAAAUAAAAAGGGUAGAUUGUAUGGGAUUGGCACCAUUGCUGACCCGCAUAACGUGAUUCCGGGAGCAUCGUCAAUGCCGAUUACCCAUAGUUCAAAUCUGCAAGAGAGAACUGACAGUGACGAGGUGCAACGUUUGAAGGAAAAAUUGCGGAGUUGGAACAAGAUAAGAUAGAGAAGCAUGUUGUGAUAGAGAAAAUCGAAGAAAGUGCGAGGGUGUACGCCGAAAUGAACGAGAGAAUUCAAUUGAUGUCACAAAAUCCGCCACCAACUUAGAUAUGUUGAACUUUAUUGUAUUUCUUUUGGAUCUUUAUCGUUGCUUUGGGUUAAUUUAGAUCUUUAUUGUUGCGU
Helianthus annuus (common sunflower) is the source of this 624-nucleotide long non-coding RNA. RefSeq lists it as uncharacterized. Lineage: Eukaryota; Viridiplantae; Streptophyta; Magnoliopsida; Asterales; Asteraceae. The transcript is spliced from 3 exons. The record is from RefSeq and is a predicted model, not a curated record.